UCCCGAAUAUGCAUGAUACAAAUUUACUGAACUGCACUUCAACUUGUUUUUCCGCCGGAAUGAAGUCAUUAACAAAAAGUCAUUAUAUCGGAAUCCUUUUGAUGUGUAUGGCUUUCUUUCAAAUACUCGGGCUCAUUACUGCUAAUGUGUUUUACUGAGCUCCCCUCCCAAUGAGGGCUGCUUAUAAAAACAUCCCGCGUCCCCAAGGAUUCAUGGCCACCAUCAGCCACGGCGAGAAUCUGCUGGCAAACCUGGAUCACGUCUCCCAGGGCAGGGAACUCAAAAUCAGACCAGAAUGUUCUCACCAAUCAAGAACGAAAGUCGGAGAUUCAAAGACGACCAGACACCAUCACAGUUCCGACCAUAAACGAUGCCAACUGGCGAUGCGGCGGCGCCAUUCCCAUGACCCGCCAGGCAGCCUCUGGGAAACCAAAGCCCUUGGGCUCUGGGGGGAGCAUGGCUGCAAAGCCGAAACUCAAAGGAAUCGACAGAAGGGCACCACCAGGUGUGGAGCCCGCGGCUCAAUUUGACUCAACACGGGAAAGCUCACCCGGCCAGGACAUGGACAGGAUUGACAGAUCGAUAAGUGAGGCCUAUUUCAAAUGUUACGUAUUUAUCCCUUGAUUCAGAAUAACUCCUCGUUCUGAGCUCCUGAACCAAUUCCUGCCUUCUUUCUGGGAACAUUGCCAUCAUCACACGUCUGCCUUCUGCCAGGUAUGGUCCAUUCAUUCAGGGUGAGGAACUUGGUUUUUUGUCUUUAGAGCCCCAGUUCCAGACUGAGAGGUGAGAACACGGCGGUUGUGUUUGUUGAUUUGAACUGCGUGUAUGUAAUACUUUCUUCAGAGCCUCCUCCUACCAUGAGAAUAAGUUAAUUUUCCUCUACAGCUACCGUUUAUGCCUCAACAAAACCUGUGUUACAUCUUAUUUUAUUUUAUUUAUUUUCUUGAAAGACAGAUUUACAGAGGCAGAGGCAGAGAGAGAAAAGAGAAUGAGAGGGACAGAUAACUUCCAUCCAGUGGGUCACUCCCCAAAUGGCAGCCGGAGCAAAGCCGAUCCAAAGCUGCGAGCCAGGAGCUUCUUCCGGGUCUCCCACGUGGGUGCAGGGGCCCAAGGACUUGAGCCAUCUUCUACUGCUUUCCCAGGCACAUUAGUAGAGAGCUGGAUGGGAAACGGAGGAGCCAGGACUCGAACCAGAGCACACAUGAGAUGGCAGCACUGCAGGUGGCAGCUUUACCGGCUGUGCCACAGGGCUGGCCGCUGUGUAACUUCUUAGGUUGCAACUGAUAGAGAGUGAGGGAUAGGGCCCACCUAGCUUGAGGUUGAGAAAAUAUGAACACCAUCAUUGCAUUUUUAUCCUGGUGCCAGUUGUCUUCCAUUAGGGAAUAUGUUCAAACAGGGGGCAAAAAGUAGAAGUGCACGGAGGUGGCCACAGCCAAUGUAAGAAAUGCAGUGUGGUGGGGGGACCACAGGGGAGGUCCUCAUCCCAGUCACUCAGUCAGUAGGAAUCUGCUGCAGGCCAGCUGGCAUUUAGAAACCUCCCAGGCAGCAGGAAAACAGUCCAGCAAAAGCAAGUCACUACAGGCAAACAAGGUCAGAUCAGAAGCGAUCUGUUUUUUCUGGCCGGAGCACCUAGGCUCAAUGUUGUGCCUUCGUUCUGGGUUUCAUGAAUUCUGAGUUCCUGUAAAGAAGUGGCUCAUGAGGGAGGAGUCGUUUGGAUAUGGAUUUCUCUGGACCCAGGCCAACCCUAGAUGUUUGGGCCACUUGGGGAAUGAACCAGUGAAUGCGAGCACUGUGCGUGUCUCUAAUUUAAAAAAAAAAAAAAAAACUAAAGACCACAACCACAGAUUCACGUUGAGCUGAGGUUCCCUGUAUUUCUUUGAUGUUCCCACCAACUUAACUGUCAAAUCUUUAUUUAUUUUUUUAUACAACCUUUUAAUUUUUGAUGUACAGAAAACUUUCUGGGAGCAUAGAGCGUUCCAAUAUACCCUCCAAUAAAAUCUCUUACUGCUAACAUCUUUAUUUAUUUUUAACAUUUUUAAAAGAUUUAUUUAUUUUUAUUUGAAAGUCAGAGUUACACACAGAGAGAAGGAGAGGCAGAGAGAGAGAGAGAGGUCUUUCAUCCACUGGUUCACUCCCCAGAUGGCUGCAAUGGCCGGAGCUGAGCCUUUUCGAAGCCAGGAGCCAGGAGCUUCUUCUGGGUCUCCCACACGAGUGCAGGGGCCCAAGGACUUGGGCCAUCUUCUGCUGCUUUCCCAGGCCACAGCAGAGAGCUGGACUGGAAGUAGAGCAGCCAGGUCUCAAGAAUGUGCCUCCUUUUGGAAGCGUCCGCUGUUAUUUUAUGAUUAGCCUGAGAUUAUGGGUGUCAGGGAGAAAGACCAGAGAGGUGAAGUGCUACUCCCAUGACAUCCUAUCAGGGGUAUGUGUUGGUACCACAACUCACUGGUAACAUUAACCUCCAUCACUUGUUUAAUCUGCUGUCUGCCUUAAGAGGAAAGCUCCUGUGGCUUGCUUGUGGUCACCUGCCAUGGCGCGUGAUGCUGACAUCCCAUAAAGUGCUUGUUACUCCACUUCUCAUCCAGCUCCCUGCUAAUGCACCUGGGAAAGCAGUGAAAGAUGGCCCAGGCGCCUGGGUUCCCGUGGGAGAGCCAGAGGGAGUUACUGGCUCCUGGUUUUGGCCAUUUGGUGAGUGAACCAGCAGAUGGAAGAUUCUCUCUCUCUCUGCCUUUAAAAUAAAUACAUCUUAAAAAAAAGUAAAGCUACUAUUUUCCCUUAUGGAAGCAAGUAAUUAUGUCUAGCCAUCCUCAGGUGUGUGUAAGGGAAUUAAACUCCACCUCCUGGAGGGGAGUUAUCUACGUAAUGUAGAAUUUUUUCUGUAAGAAAUCUUUCCUCUUCUGAAAUCCAAAUGGCCAAUAGGCACAUGAAAAAAUGUUCAAGAUCACUAGCAAUCAGGGAAAUGCAAAUCAAAUCCACAAUGAGGUUUCACCUCACCCCAGUUAGAAUGGCUCACAUACAGAAAUCUACCAACAACAGAUGCUGGUGAGGAUGUGGGGAAAAAGGGACACUAACCCACUGUUGGUGGGAAUGCAAACUGGUCAAGCCACUAUGGAAGUCAGUCUGGAGAUUCCUCAGAAACCUGAAGAUAACCCUACCGUUCAACCCAGUCAUCCCACUCCUUGGAAUUUACCCAAAGGAAUUUAAAUUGGCAAACAAAAAAGUGGUCUGCACCCUAAUGUUUAUUGCAGCUCAAUUCACAAUAGCUAAGACUUGGAACCAACCUAAAUGCCCAUCAACGGUAGACUGGAUAAAGAAAUUAUGCGAUAUGUACUCUUUAGAAUACUAUACCUCAGUAAAAAAACAAUGAAAUCCAGUCAUUUGCAACAAAAUGGAGGAAUCUGGAACACAUCAUGCUGAGUGAAAUAAGCCAGUCCCAAAGGGACAAAUAUCAUAUGUUCUCCCUGAUCUGUGACAACUGACUGAACACCAAAAAGGAAACCUGUUGAAGUGAAAUGGACACUAUGAGAAAUGGUGACUUGAUCAGCAUAGCCCUGACUGUUAAUGAACAACUUUAUACGUUAUCCCUCUUAGUAUUUUUUUGGUCUGUUCUACUUAAUACUACUGGUUUAAUUCUGUAAUUAAUACACAGUUAUUCUUAAGUGUUGAAAUUUAACUGAAAUGUGAUCCCUGUUAAACAUAAGAGUGGGAAUAAGAGUGGGAAGAGAUAUACAAUUUGGGACAUGCUCAAGCUGACUUGCCCCAAAUGGUAGAGUUAGAAACAUACCAGGGGAUUCCAAUUCAAUCCCAUCAAGGUGGCAUGCACCAAUGCCAUCUCACUAGUCCAAGUGAUCAAUUUCUGUUCACAAUUGAUCAUAAUGAUAGGACUAAGAGUCAAAGGGAUCACAUAAACAAGUCUAGUGCCUGCUAAUACUAACUGAUAGAAUAUAUAAAGGGGAGAGCAAUCCAACAUGGGAAGCAAGAUACACAGCAGAUUCAUAGAAUGGCAGAUGUCCUAAACAGCACUCUGGCCUCAGAAUCAGUCCUAAAGGCAUUCGGAUCCAGCUGAAAAGCCCAUGAGAGUAUUUGAGGCAUGGAAAUCAAGACACUCUGGCAAAAAAAAACCCAAACCAAACCAAACCAAACCAAAACAAAACAAAAA
Molecule: non-coding RNA, 4153 nt
Organism: Oryctolagus cuniculus (rabbit)
Lineage: Eukaryota; Metazoa; Chordata; Mammalia; Lagomorpha; Leporidae
Source: RefSeq, a predicted model, not a curated record